Long non-coding RNA from Triticum aestivum (bread wheat), 2133 nucleotides. RefSeq lists it as uncharacterized. The record is from RefSeq and is a predicted model, not a curated record. NCBI's taxonomy places the organism in Eukaryota, Viridiplantae, Streptophyta, Magnoliopsida, Poales, Poaceae. The transcript is spliced from 5 exons.
GAUCGGGUGGGUGGAUUGAGGCAGAAAUAUCUACCUCGUCAGCCCCUCUCUUUCCUUCAUCUCUUCUUCGUCCUAUUCCUCUUCUACAGGCAGCCGCCGGCGCCGCUUCCUCCCUCCCUCUCGGCUGCCUUGUCUCCUCUGCCUCCACCUCCUCCUCCCAUGUCUCCUCACUCGACCUCCCCUGCCUCCUCACCUGACUGGCACAGAUAGGACGAUGUGCAGUCAAAGGGAGAUGGCGGCGCUCGAUCCGAUCUGUAGGAGAGAGAAGAUGAGAGGGAGAGAUAGAAGGAAGGAGAGAAUGGAUGGUGUGGUCUUCAUGACGCGUGUGGAGGAGCAGGAGAGAAGAUGGGAGAGAGAGGGAGAGGAUCUUGAGGAAGAGUAUAGGACAAGGUGAUCUCUCUCUCUCUCUCUCUCAUCUGCCUAGAUUGAUUUCGUUUCCAGGUUAUAAUUUUUACGGGGGGCAAAUGCUUCAGAAAAUCUGUGCUGCAUACUGGAAUCAUGUUGUUCAAGGAAUUCCACAUAUUGAACCUUCAAGAUGACUUGAAAUGGACCUGGACAAUGUGAAUUGGGGCCAGUAUCUAAACACUCUGUUUUGGAACCUCAACUAUUGGGAUUGAAUCAGUAUGCUGGCUGGAGAGGAUUGACGGGGCUGCUCUCAUUUUCGGUUUGCUACUGCUUCCUUGCAUUCUACCGCUUCUCAUUGUUGUCAUAAGAAGAUGAGAUGUUCUUCGGUACGAUGCUCCUGGCGUGUUUGAUGAAAUGUCUAUAAGAUGAUAUGUUACUCAUUCUCUCUUUCCUUCUCGGUUGGUUCUUGGGUCCUCCAUGUCGUUAGCCAUCAAGGUUGGGUUCCUUCCCACUCCCUUGCUCAAUUUUUGCCUACUGAAAGCGAUGUGUGUUGAUGUGUUGGUUUUGACAACAUCCCCGUGUGAUCUUUGUUGGCAUAUCAAACGAGGAUAUUUGAUGGCAUACCUGCUGGAUUUGGACGAUUGGUGUGAUCUCCGUUCAGUUUGUCAUGCUCCUUUGUAUGCAGUCUGCAGAAGCAGCCAAGACGGUGAAGAUCUGCUGCAUAUGAGUUGGCUACGUCCGCGGCCCAACAAUGGUUGUCAUUGCCAUCAAGUGCCCAACAAUUGAGGUGGUGGUUGUCGACAUCUCCAAGCCCCGCAUUCACGCCUGGAACAACGACACCCUCCCGAUCUACGAGCCCGGCCUCGAUGAUGUUGUCAAGGCGUGCAGGGGCAAGAACCUCUUCUUCAGCACCGACGUCGAGAAGCACAUUGCCGAGGCCGACAUCAUCUUUGUCUCGGUGAACACCCCCACCAAGACCCGCAGUUUGGGAGCCGGCAAGGCUGCCGACCUCACCUACUGGGAGAGCGCAGCCCGGAUGAUUGCCGAUGUGUCCAACUCCGACAAGAUCGAUGUUGAUGAGUCCACUGUCCCUGUGAAGACCGCAGAGGCCAUUGAGAAGAUCCUGACCCACAACAACAAGGGCAUCAACUACCAGAUCCUGACCAACCCAGAGUUUCCUUGCCGAGGGCACGGCGACCGACGACCUGUUCAAGCCCGACAGAGUGCUCAUCGGUGGCCGGGAGACCCCCGAGGGCAGGAAGGCUGUCCAGGCCAUCAAGGAGGUGUACGCCUACUGGGUGUCCGAGGAGAACAUCGUCACCACCAACCUGUGGUCUGAUGAGCUCUCCAAGCUCGCUGCCAAUGCCUUCCUGGCAUAGAGGAUCUGCUCCGUGAACGCCAUGUCGGUGCUCUGUGAGGCCACGUGCGUGCUCGUGCUCAUGGUGGUUUCCCAUAUAUCAGCAGCGCGGAGGAGCUGGUAUCCUCAGCCAGAGUUGGGUGUACUUGCGGGCGACCUCACCCUCACCAGUGCAUCUACAGUUUUCUAUCUUCAGGGGGCUGCUCUUUGAUUCAGAGUAAAAUCAAGUUCUUUACCUAUGGAGGAGGUAGAUACUGAUGGAGUGGAUGACAAGGUGUUCUCCAGGUUCUGCAUCAUCUCCAUAUUCUGCAUCAUUAGUGAGCAACUUACCUAGGGAGGAGGUAGAUACUGACUGUGACGCCCCCGAUUCAAUCGUACACUAAUCAUGCACGCAAAUGUGUACGAUCAAGAUCAGGGACUCACGGGAAGAU